Molecule: long non-coding RNA, 228 nt
Filed under: Selaginella moellendorffii
Lineage: Eukaryota; Viridiplantae; Streptophyta; Lycopodiopsida; Selaginellales; Selaginellaceae
Description: long non-coding RNA (SMOE_LNC000782)
Source: RNAcentral
GAAGAGCAGGCAAGAAGAACCACUCGAGCUUGUGAUCAGCAAUUAUGCAGGAAGAGAGAGGAAGGAAAGAAAGAAAGAAAGCGCAAGCAGGCAAUCGCCAUCGCGGUACCAAAGAGGAGGGACUGUGAGAGAAUUAACCUGUUACCUUUAAGUGAUCGCCAAGAGGAUCUGAUAUGCGAUCUUUCGUCCAUUUUAAAAAUGGAGAAAAGGAAAAAUUUCACCUUGUUC